This 207-nucleotide ribosomal RNA is filed under the name uncultured delta proteobacterium. RNAcentral describes it as "partial 16S ribosomal RNA". It matches the Rfam family "Bacterial small subunit ribosomal RNA", at positions 568 to 774 of the family's 1533-position model. Lineage: Bacteria; Deltaproteobacteria. The record is from RNAcentral.
CGCGUAGGCGGUUUGAUAAGUCAGAUGUGAAAGCCCACGGCUUAACUGUGGAAGUGCAUUUGAAACUGUCAGACUUGAGUAUCAGAGGGGAAAGUGGAAUUCCCGGUGUGGAGGUGAAAUUCGUAGAUAUCGGGAGGAAUACCGGUGGCGAAGGCGACUUUCUGGCUGAAUACUGACGCUGAGGCGCGAAAGCGUGGGGAGCAAACA